CUCUGAGAUUGAUCUAUUGUCAUUUGAUAUUUCCUUCGAUAUAUUCCAACAAGCACUGAUGGUAGGUAUAUAAUCCGCAAGGAGGAUGCGUACGCAACGAGAAUGACCAUUCAAAGCAGCCAAGUGAAGUGCAGUACCCCCAUUAAGAUAAUCUGAUCUGUGAACAUUGGCUUUAAAAAGCAUCAAAUUCAGAACAACCUCCCAGUGACCAUGUUGACAAGCUUGCAUCAACGCAGUCUGACCACGAUAAUUCCUCAGAUUAAUAUCAACUCCAGACUCAAUCAAGAGAGAAACUAUCUCAUGGUGACCUCGAGCUGCAGAGUAAUGUAGGGGAGAAUUUCGAACUCCAAAUGUGGAGUACCUCGCAAGCCUUGGAUUGCAUUCCAACAAGGCCUUGGCUUCUUGAAGAUCUCCAUCUCUUGCUGCAGAAACUAAACGCUCCCCGGAUGCAGAACAACCGAGAGAAUUGCCCAUGAUGCUUAGAAAUUUCAUGAUUUUUAGC
RNAcentral lists this unclassified non-coding RNA (502 nucleotides) under Hevea brasiliensis (rubber tree). The record is from RNAcentral. Lineage: Eukaryota; Viridiplantae; Streptophyta; Magnoliopsida; Malpighiales; Euphorbiaceae.